This 301-nucleotide ribosomal RNA is filed under the name uncultured bacterium. RNAcentral's name for it is "partial 16S ribosomal RNA". It matches the Rfam family "Bacterial small subunit ribosomal RNA", at positions 509 to 807 of the family's 1533-position model. The record is from RNAcentral.
CAGUCGCCGCGGUAAUACGGAAGGUGCAAGCGUUAAUUGGAAUUACUGGGCGUAAAGCGUACGUAGGCGGCUUUGUAAGUUAGAGGUGAAAGCCUGGUGCUCAACACCAGAACUGCCUUUAAGACUGCAUCGCUUGAACGUCGGAGAGGUGAGUGGAAUUCCGAUUGUAGAGGUGAAAUUCGUAGAUAUUCGGAAGAACACCAGUGGCGAAGGCGGCUCACUGGACGACUGUUGACGCUGAGGUACGAAAGCGUGGGGAGCAAACAGGAUUAGAUACCCCAGUAGUCCCUGUCUCUUAUAC